This 73-nucleotide transfer RNA is filed under the name Camelus bactrianus (Bactrian camel). It matches the Rfam family "tRNA". From Rfam's summary of the family: Transfer RNA (tRNA) molecules are approximately 80 nucleotides in length. Their secondary structure includes four short double-helical elements and three loops (D, anti-codon, and T loops). The record is from Rfam by way of RNAcentral. Lineage: Eukaryota; Metazoa; Chordata; Mammalia; Artiodactyla; Camelidae. RNAcentral also lists the same sequence under 1 other name.
GAAGGUAUAGCACACAUGGUAGAGCAUGUGCUUAGCAUGCACAAGGUCCUGGGCUCAAUCCCUAGUACGUCCU